Molecule: ribosomal RNA, 323 nt
Filed under: uncultured Glissomonadida
Lineage: Eukaryota; Cercozoa; Glissomonadida
Description: SSU rRNA
Rfam family: Eukaryotic small subunit ribosomal RNA (bases 110-323)
Source: RNAcentral
GAUUUCUGGCACGGUGCGCUUGGCCGGCGGCGUUAGCUUGCCUGUGCCUUGUCGCGCCUGUCAUCCUUCUAGAAAGCGGUGCUACCCCUCACGGGGCCGGCACUUGUCGAUCUAGAUCUUUUACUUUGAAAAAAUUAGAGUGUUUCAAGCAGGCGUUGGCUAUGAAUACAUUAGCAUGGAAUAAUCAACUAGGACUUCGGUUUAAUUUUGUUGGUUUCUUAUGACUGAAGUAAUGAUUGAUAGGGAUAGUUGGGGGUGCUCGUAUUCAGCGGCCAGAGGUGAAAUUCUCGGAUUCGCUGAAGACGAACUACUGCGAAAGCAUU